CUGGCCACAGAGAUUGAUCCAGGAUGGGAACAUGGCCCAUUCAGAACACAUACAAAGCAGUGAAUCUUUGUGACUUCUGGGGAAAACACUAUUGCUUAUUGCUUUUCUCUGCAGUCCUGGGAACUUCACGCAUGACAAAAAAAGGAGAGCCUGUCUAAGGAUGGAGCAUUUCUACAGAAAGUGGAGCUAAAGGAUAGAUCCUGAAGCCUGGGAUCAACUGAUCUGCGUCAUGCUGAGGUAAAAGCAGCAUCAAAUGAAGACACCAUCAACGUGCCUCCAGGAAAUGAAGGUCAUUUUAAAUGAAGAUAACGAGGCAUAAUCCAUCAAAUGGUGGUUUCCAUAGAGCUCAAUUUGUUAUUAACAGAGGCCCGUGAAAUCAUAAAUGGAGUAACAUUAAAAGGUUAAACUGACCAAAUGCCAUGAAAUUUUGCGAAGACUUUUAUCAUGGCACCUUCAACAUUUUAUUCAAUCUACUGUUUUUCAUGUAUUUUUUCCUCCUAAACAGUAAGGCCUUUCAGGGCAGUGAUUAUUUUGUUCAUUCUUGUAUUUAUCUUGGUACUUGAUAUAUAGUAUGUAUUUAACAACAAUUGUAGAAUAAACAAAUGAAAGCAUGAAUGAAUAAAUGAAUAUACUUAGGACUCUCCUCCUAAUCACCGUCAGCUACUGAUAAUUGCUUGAAAAACUUAUUUUAACGAAAAGGUCACUAUCUCUGUGAAUGUCUUCCUAGGAAAGAUGAGUAGCAUCUUUCUCUGAGUUCCCACACCACUAAUCAUAUUGUUUUCCUAAUUGUGUGGGCUAUUUCCCCAUGUAUCAGGCAAGUUCUCUGAGGAGAUCUUGUUUCACUUAUCCUUAAAUUUACAGUACAUAGUGCAGUUUGCCAACUACAGAAUUAAAACUUAAUAAACAUGAAUUUGAAACUUGCAUUUAACUUGCUAAUGUAUUUUUACUUAGUAACACAAAUUUAUUGCUUACACAGAAAUUAGUAACAUUUAUAAAAACAAUGUAGCAUUUUGUUUUUAAAAUUGCUCAUGUUAAGUCAAAUUUGGAGACAAUCAUUAUCUAGCAAAUUAAUGCAGGAGGAGAAAACCAAAUACUGCAUGUUCUCAUUUAUAAGUGGGAGCUAAACACUGCGCAAACAUGGCCACUAAGAAGGGAACAAUAGACACUGGGGCCUACCUGAGGGUGGAGGGUGGAAUGAGGGUGAGGAUUCAAAAAACUACCUGUUGGGUAUUACGUUCAUUAUCUGGGUGAUGAAAUAAUCUGUAUAUCAAAAUUCUGCAACAUACAAUUUACCCGUGUAACCAAUGCUGCACAUGUGCCCCAUGAACAUAAGUAAAAGUUAGAAGAAAAAAAUAUUUGGAGGCAAUCAAGUAGAACAUGCUUUAAGAGGUGCUAGAUGUUCAGCCUAAAGUGAUCCUUUUUCAUUGUUCAACUUCUGAAAUUAAUAAAAGGAUAUUCUAGGGACAGGUUCAUGAAUAAAUACUUAUAGACGAUUGUUUGCACAUGGUAAUCUGUAGAAGGC
Molecule: long non-coding RNA, 1522 nt
Filed under: Homo sapiens (human)
Lineage: Eukaryota; Metazoa; Chordata; Mammalia; Primates; Hominidae
Description: HSALNT0008652
Source: RNAcentral